RNAcentral lists this RNase P RNA (386 nucleotides) under Mobiluncus porci. RNAcentral describes it as "RNase P RNA component class A". It matches the Rfam family "Bacterial RNase P class A". From Rfam's summary of the family: Ribonuclease P (RNase P) is a ubiquitous endoribonuclease, found in archaea, bacteria and eukarya as well as chloroplasts and mitochondria. The record is from RNAcentral. Lineage: Bacteria; Bacillati; Actinomycetota; Actinomycetes; Actinomycetales; Actinomycetaceae.
AAAGCCGGACAGGCGAUCGCGGGCGCGUCGUUAUCGAGCCCCGAGGAAAGUCCGGACUCCACAGGGCAGGGUGAUGGCUAACGGCCACCCGGGGUGACCCGCGGGACAGUGCCACAGAAAACAAACCGCCCGUCGGCCUAGCUUUGCGCUGGGACAAGCGGGUAAGGGUGAAAAGGCGAGGUAAGAGCUCACCGCGCGACUGGUGACAGGAGCGGCACGGUAAACCCCACCCGGAGCAAGGCCAAGCAGCAGGCUGGGCGGCCCGUCCAAAGCCUGCGGGUAGGCUGCUAGAGGUUCGCGGUAACGCGCACCCGAGAGAAAUGGUCGCCGGUCAUCCUUCGGUAACGGGGAUGAUUACAGAAUCCGGCUUAUGUCCGGCUUUUCCG